This is a long non-coding RNA of Syngnathus acus (greater pipefish), 1341 nucleotides long. RefSeq lists it as uncharacterized. The record is from RefSeq and is a predicted model, not a curated record. Lineage: Eukaryota; Metazoa; Chordata; Actinopteri; Syngnathiformes; Syngnathidae. The transcript has 2 exons.
AAAUUAAAACAAAUCUACAAAGAACUAAAAGAGGUCCACGACCAAAUGAAGUUUUUCUUCUUCUUUUGCAGUAUGACGUUGAAAAAGUCAUGACAGUUAAGCACUUGUAGAUGACUAUGAUGUAACAUUUUGGCCACCGAUGGACUAAUGUUGGAUUUGGAUACCAAAUGGAAACACUGAAAACAAGAUUCAUGUGAAAUUGACGACGUUAUCAUAACAUGUCAACAGCAAGUGCUGCGUGAGUGUUCACCACUCCUUUUAUCGUAGUAAUCUCAAAGUGAGUGUUCGCCACUCCAUUUAUCGUAGUCAUCUCAAAGUGACGAAACAAACUAAUUCAAGUUGAGCUUUAGUUGUAGGUUAAAGUUCGAUGCUAGAUGAGAUAUUUGACCCCAAGGACAGGUGAGUCCAAGCAAAGUGCGAGGAUACUGCUUUGUUCUCUACUGCUGCCAUUUUUAAAAUGAAUUUAGUGCCAGUCCCUUCUCUAGAAAAACAUUUUGAUCAAACACCUUAUUUUCUUGUUCACAUUUACUAAUUAAAUGACCUUUAGUCGAAUUCGCACAGUGACUAGUUAGAUUUGUUUUGCUAUAUUUUCAUGUGGUCUGGAACUAUCAUUAAAUCUAAUUUGGUGGGACCUUCCAUGCUCCCGAUGAAAAAUCCUACAGUUUCAUUUCAAUGCUCGCAAAGCCACAUUUUAGAAAAAUCCUGUUUGGUCGGAGUCACAAGCAUGUCGAAUAAUGUGCGAUUACACACUAAAUUUGUACCUCUCGUCACAAACCCUUCCGCAGGGGGAAAUGUUAAAGUUGUGCCGACGUCACACACAGAGGAACUUGUUUGCCAAACAGAGUGUACAAUUACUAUGCGGCUUCCCUUUACCCAGAAUUCACAGGAAAUGGAUGUACAAUAAUUGGUGCUGGAGGGGGUGGAACCACCAUAUUACAUUAGUAUGCAGUACUGUAUUUAAAUGUACACUAUAUAAAAUAAUAUAGUUAAAUAAUAAUUGUCAUUUCUCGUGAAUGGGCUUCUUUGAUUCUUAAUUGGUGCCAGUGAUUGGUGAAUUGUGACUUUGUCCCUCCCACAUAUAUUAUUGCACCCAAUUAUAUUUCACAUUUUUUUCAUGUUGUGACAGGUAAUUAUCAAAUGAAGUACCGAACAAAACAAUGUGUCGACAAGCAACUUGGCAGCUGUACGGAGUGUGCAGAAGAGACGUAACUUACCUGCAUUGAACGUGGGCGUGUUCCACUUGAUGGCGAUCAGAGCCACAGUAACACUUGCCAGAAGGACUUUGGUCAACGUUUUCAUGUUGUAAACUAUCAUUUAAAUAAGUCAAUAAGUAUAAACACC